UUAAGUUAUUAAGGGCGCACGGUGGAUGCCUUGGCACUAGAAGCCAAUGAAGGACGUUACUAACGACGAUAUGCUUUGGGGAGCUGUAAGUAAGCUUUGAUCCAGAGAUUUCCGAAUGGGGAAACCCAGCAUGAGUUAUGUCAUGUUAUCGAUAUGUGAAUACAUAGCAUAUCAGAAGGCACACCCGGAGAACUGAAACAUCUUAGUACCCGGAGGAAGAGAAAGAAAAUUCGAUUCCCUUAGUAGCGGCGAGCGAAACGGGAAGAGCCCAAACCAACAAGCUUGCUUGUUGGGGUUGUAGGACACUCUAUACGGAGUUACAAAGGACGACAUUAGACGAAUCAUCUGGAAAGAUGAAUCAAAGAAGGUAAUAAUCCUGUAGUCGAAAAUGUUGUCUCUCUUGAGUGGAUCCUGAGUACGACGGAGCACGUGAAAUUCCGUCGGAAUCUGGGAGGACCAUCUCCUAAGGCUAAAUACUCUCUAGUGACCGAUAGUGAACCAGUACCGUGAGGGAAAGGUGAAAAGCACCCCGGAAGGGGAGUGAAAUAGAACCUGAAACCGUGUGCUUACAAGUAGUCAGAGCCCGUUAAUGGGUGAUGGCGUGCCUUUUGUAGAAUGAACCGGCGAGUUACGAUUUGAUGCAAGGUUAAGCAGUAAAUGUGGAGCCGUAGCGAAAGCGAGUCUGAAUAGGGCGUUUAGUAUUUGGUCGUAGACCCGAAACCAGGUGAUCUACCCUUGGUCAGGUUGAAGUUCAGGUAACACUGAAUGGAGGACCGAACCGACUUACGUUGAAAAGUGAGCGGAUGAACUGAGGGUAGCGGAGAAAUUCCAAUCGAACCUGGAGAUAGCUGGUUCUCUCCGAAAUAGCUUUAGGGCUAGCCUCAAGUGAUGAUUAUUGGAGGUAGAGCACUGUUUGGACGAGGGGCCCCUCUCGGGUUACCGAAUUCAGACAAACUCCGAAUGCCAAUUAAUUUAACUUGGGAGUCAGAACAUGGGUGAUAAGGUCCGUGUUCGAAAGGGAAACAGCCCAGACCACCAGCUAAGGUCCCAAAAUAUAUGUUAAGUGGAAAAGGAUGUGGCGUUGCCCAGACAACUAGGAUGUUGGCUUAGAAGCAGCCAUCAUUUAAAGAGUGCGUAAUAGCUCACUAGUCGAGUGACACUGCGCCGAAAAUGUACCGGGGCUAAACAUAUUACCGAAGCUGUGGAUUGUCCUUUGGACAAUGGUAGGAGAGCGUUCUAAGGGCGUUGAAGCAUGAUCGUAAGGACAUGUGGAGCGCUUAGAAGUGAGAAUGCCGGUGUGAGUAGCGAAAGACGGGUGAGAAUCCCGUCCACCGAUUGACUAAGGUUUCCAGAGGAAGGCUCGUCCGCUCUGGGUUAGUCGGGUCCUAAGCUGAGGCCGACAGGCGUAGGCGAUGGAUAACAGGUUGAUAUUCCUGUACCACCUAUAAUCGUUUUAAUCGAUGGGGGGACGCAGUAGNNNNNNNNNNNNNNNNNNNNNNNNNNNNNNNNNNNNNNNNNNNNNNNNNNNNNNNNNNNNNNNNNNNNNNNNNNNNNNNNNNNNNNNNNNNNNNNNNNNNNNNNNNNNNNNNAUAGGCGAAGCGUGCGAUUGGAUUGCACGUCUAAGCAGUAAGGCUGAGUAUUAGGCAAAUCCGGUACUCGUUAAGGCUGAGCUGUGAUGGGGAGAAGACAUUGUGUCUUCGAGUCGUUGAUUUCACACUGCCGAGAAAAGCCUCUAGAUAGAAAAUAGGUGCCCGUACCGCAAACCGACACAGGUAGUCAAGAUGAGAAUUCUAAGGUGAGCGAGCGAACUCUCGUUAAGGAACUCGGCAAAAUGACCCCGUAACUUCGGGAGAAGGGGUGCUCUUUAGGGUUAACGCCCAGAAGAGCCGCAGUGAAUAGGCCCAAGCGACUGUUUAUCAAAAACACAGGUCUCUGCUAAACCGUAAGGUGAUGUAUAGGGGCUGACGCCUGCCCGGUGCUGGAAGGUUAAGAGGAGUGGUUAGCUUCUGCGAAGCUACGAAUCGAAGCCCCAGUAAACGGCGGCCGUAACUAUAACGGUCCUAAGGUAGCGAAAUUCCUUGUCGGGUAAGUUCCGACCCGCACGAAAGGCGUAACGAUUUGGGCACUGUCUCAACGAGAGACUCGGUGAAAUCAUAGUACCUGUGAAGAUGCAGGUUACCCGCGACAGGACGGAAAGACCCCGUGGAGCUUUACUGUAGCCUGAUAUUGAAAUUCGGCACAGCUUGUACAGGAUAGGUAGGAGCCUUUGAAACGUGAGCGCUAGCUUACGUGGAGGCGCUGGUGGGAUACUACCCUAGCUGUGUUGGCUUUCUAACCCGCACCACUUAUCGUGGUGGGAGACAGUGUCAGGCGGGCAGUUUGACUGGGGCGGUCGCCUCCUAAAAGGUAACGGAGGCGCUCAAAGGUUCCCUCAGAAUGGUUGGAAAUCAUUCAUAGAGUGUAAAGGCAUAAGGGAGCUUGACUGCGAGACCUACAAGUCGAGCAGGGUCGAAAGACGGACUUAGUGAUCCGGUGGUUCCGCAUGGAAGGGCCAUCGCUCAACGGAUAAAAGCUACCCCGGGGAUAACAGGCUUAUCUCCCCCAAGAGUUCACAUCGACGGGGAGGUUUGGCACCUCGAUGUCGGCUCAUCGCAUCCUGGGGCUGUAGUCGGUCCCAAGGGUUGGGCUGUUCGCCCAUUAAAGCGGUACGCGAGCUGGGUUCAGAACGUCGUGAGACAGUUCGGUCCCUAUCCGUCGUGGGCGUAGGAAAUUUGAGAGGAGCUGUCCUUAGUACGAGAGGACCGGGAUGGACAUACCUCUGGUGUACCAGUUGUCGUGCCAACGGCAUAGCUGGGUAGCUAUGUGUGGACGGGAUAAGUGCUGAAAGCAUCUAAGCAUGAAGCCCCCCUCAAGAUGAGAUUUCCCAACUUCGGUUAUAAGAUCCCUCAAAGAUGAUGAGGUUAAUAGGUUCGAGGUGGAAGCAUGGUGACAUGUGGAGCUGACGAAUACUAAUCGAUCGAAGACUUAAUCAA
This 3032-nucleotide ribosomal RNA is filed under the name Staphylococcus aureus. RNAcentral describes it as "23S ribosomal RNA". It matches the Rfam family "Bacterial large subunit ribosomal RNA". The record is from RNAcentral. Lineage: Bacteria; Bacillati; Bacillota; Bacilli; Caryophanales; Staphylococcaceae.